This 206-nucleotide long non-coding RNA is filed under the name Elaeis guineensis (African oil palm). RNAcentral's name for it is "long non-coding RNA (EGUI_LNC020489)". Lineage: Eukaryota; Viridiplantae; Streptophyta; Magnoliopsida; Arecales; Arecaceae. The record is from RNAcentral.
CCUUUGGAUCAAUUACAACUGUUGGAUCAUGUAAAAUAGGUGGGCCACCACCGCUUGAUUUGGAACAGAGCAUUUCUGGCCGUUUGAUUGGGUGUUUCAGCCAUUCAAUGGUGCAAUAGAAGCUACCCGCCUCAUGCGCCAUGAUAAAAGACUGACGGGAUUAUUCCCAUGAGCCGCAUGUGGAUCGGGUGUGCACUAGCUUAUGC